GAGUGAACGCCGGCGGUAGGCCUAACACAUGCAAGUCGAACGGCAGCACAGUAAGAGCUUGCUCUUACGGGUGGCGAGUGGCGGACGGGUGAGGAAUACAUCGGAAUCUACUUUUUCGUGGGGGAUAACGUAGGGAAACUUACGCUAAUACCGCAUACGACCUACGGGUGAAAGCAGGGGAUCUUCGGACCUUGCGCGAUUGAAUGAGCCGAUGUCGGAUUAGCUAGUUGGCGGGGUAAAGGCCCACCAAGGCGACGAUCCGUAGCUGGUCUGAGAGGAUGAUCAGCCACACUGGAACUGAGACACGGUCCAGACUCCUACGGGAGGCAGCAGUGGGGAAUAUUGGACAAUGGGCGCAAGCCUGAUCCAGCCAUACCGCGUGGGUAAAGAAGGCCUUCGGGUUGUAAAGCCCUUUUGUUGGGAAAGAAAAGCAGCAGGUUAAUACCCCGCUGUUCUGACGGUACCCAAAGAAUAAGCACCGGCUAACUUCGUG
This 493-nucleotide ribosomal RNA is filed under the name uncultured bacterium. Its description in RNAcentral is "partial 16S ribosomal RNA". It matches the Rfam family "Bacterial small subunit ribosomal RNA", at positions 27 to 507 of the family's 1533-position model. The record is from RNAcentral.